Molecule: ribosomal RNA, 301 nt
Filed under: uncultured bacterium
Lineage: Bacteria
Description: partial 16S ribosomal RNA
Rfam family: Bacterial small subunit ribosomal RNA
Source: RNAcentral
CAGUAGCCACGGUAAUACGUAGGUGGCAAGCGUUGUCCGGAAUUAUUGGGCGUAAAGGGCUCGCAGGCGGUUUCUUAAGUCUGAUGUGAAAGCCCCCGGCUCAACCGGGGAGGGUCAUUGGAAACUGGGAAACUUGAGUGCAGAAGAGGAGAGUGGAAUUCCACGUGUAGCGGUGAAAUGCGUAGAGAUGUGGAGGAACACCAGUGGCGAAGGCGACUCUCUGGUCUGUAACUGACGCUGAGGAGCGAAAGCGUAGGGAGCGAACAGGAUUAGAUACCCCCGUAGUCCCUGUCUCUUAUAC